UAUGCGGCAGCUACCAUGCAGUCGGACGGUAGCACAGAGAGCUUGCUCUCGGGUGACGAGUGGCGGACGGGUGAGUAAUGUCUGGGGAUCUGCCCGAUAGAGGGGGAUAACCACUGGAAACGGUGGCUAAUACCGCAUAACGUCGCAAGACCAAAGAGGGGGACCUUCGGGCCUCUCACUAUCGGAUGAACCCAGAUGGGAUUAGCUAGUAGGCGGGGUAAUGGCCCACCUAGGCGACGAUCCCUAGCUGGUCUGAGAGGAUGACCAGCCACACUGGAACUGAGACACGGUCCAGACUCCUACGGGAGGCAGCAGUGGGGAAUAUUGCACAAUGGGCGCAAGCCUGAUGCAGCCAUGCCGCGUGUAUGAAGAAGGCCUUCGGGUUGUAAAGUACUUUCAGCGGGGAGGAAGGCGAUGCGGUUAAUAACCGCGUCGAUUGACGUUACCCGCAGAAGAAGCACCGGCUAACUCCGUGCCAGCAGCCGCGGUAAUACGGAGGGUGCAAGCGUUAAUCGGAAUUACUGGGCGUAAAGCGCACGCAGGCGGUCUGUUAAGUCAGAUGUGAAAUCCCCGGGCUUAACCUGGGAACUGCAUUUGAAACUGGCAGGCUUGAGUCUUGUAGAGGGGGGUAGAAUUCCAGGU
RNAcentral lists this ribosomal RNA (642 nucleotides) under Pantoea agglomerans. RNAcentral describes it as "bacterial SSU rRNA". It matches the Rfam family "Bacterial small subunit ribosomal RNA", at positions 37 to 674 of the family's 1533-position model. Lineage: Bacteria; Pseudomonadati; Pseudomonadota; Gammaproteobacteria; Enterobacterales; Erwiniaceae. The record is from RNAcentral.